UACAGAGGUCUCAAGCGUUGUUCGGAUUCAUUGGGCGUAAAGGGUGCGUAGGCGGCGCGGUAAGUCGGGUGUGAAAUCUCGGGGCUUAACUCCGAAACUGCAUUCGAUACUGCCGUGCUUGAGGACUGGAGAGGAGACUGGAAUUUACGGUGUAGCGGUGAAAUGCGUAGAUAUCGUAAGGAAGACCAGUGGCGAAGGCGGGUCUCUGGACAGUUCCUGACGCUGAGACGCGAAAGCGUGGGUAGCAAACAGG
This 253-nucleotide ribosomal RNA is filed under the name uncultured bacterium. RNAcentral describes it as "partial 16S ribosomal RNA". It matches the Rfam family "Bacterial small subunit ribosomal RNA", at positions 524 to 776 of the family's 1533-position model. The record is from RNAcentral.